RNAcentral lists this ribosomal RNA (254 nucleotides) under uncultured bacterium. Its description in RNAcentral is "partial 16S ribosomal RNA". It matches the Rfam family "Bacterial small subunit ribosomal RNA", at positions 524 to 776 of the family's 1533-position model. The record is from RNAcentral.
UACGGAGGGUGCAAACGUUGCUCGGAAUCAUUGGGCGUAAAGCGCACGUAGGCGGCUCCUCAAGUCGGAUGUGAAAGCCCUGGGCUCAACUCAGGAAGUGCAUCCGAAACUGUGGAGCUUGAAUGCCGGAGGGGCCCAGAGAAUUCCCCGGUGUAGAGGUGAAAUUCGUAGAUAUCGGGAGGAAUACCAGUGGCGAAGGCGCUGGGCUGGACGGUCAUUGACGCUGAGGUGCGAAAGCGUGGGGAGCAAACAGG